RNAcentral lists this ribosomal RNA (2709 nucleotides) under Triticum aestivum (bread wheat). RNAcentral describes it as "partial small subunit ribosomal RNA". The record is from RNAcentral. Lineage: Eukaryota; Viridiplantae; Streptophyta; Magnoliopsida; Poales; Poaceae.
UGCUUCCCCGUCGCCCCCGCCGCGCGCUCCUCUCCUUUUCGCCCAUCCCUCCUCACCUACAAUUCUUCGAUCUGGCACUGCCCGAGUGGUGAAAUGGACUAGAGACUGCUCGGAAUUUUGUAGAUUGGAAGGAAUCACUGGUUCAGGCAUUUUGGUGGACAAUCUUCAUUUGAUCCUGAGUGCUGACUCGCUCUUCUGUUGUCAUCAAUGUCUAGCUUGCUGAAUUCAAAUCUUAACAGUUCCGCAUCAAAUCUUCCAGACUCAACCGGACGACCAUUUGCAACAUCCUUUUCUGGUCAAUCUGGAUCAGUUCAAGGUCUCCAUCACUCUGGUCUGCGCAACAUUCAUGGAAAUUUCAGUCUUCCAAGUAUGCCUGGAUCACUUGCACAAAGGAAUGCUGUGAUGAGCGGCCUUCCAUCCUCCGGGGUUCAACAACCUGGAGGGAGCAUUUCUGGCAGAUUUGCUUCAAACAACCUUCCAGUUGCCAUGUCUCAGAUUCCUCAUGCACAUUCAGGUGUCAGUGGUAGAGGAAUGAAUGUUGGUGGAGGUCAAGCAUUUAGUAGUGGCAUGAAUAUGGGUGGUACCAUUCAAGGUUUAUACUCAAAUUUGGGCACCAGUGGUAAUCGAAAUUCUGUUCCUGGCAUGUCAGUGUCUCCAGCUUUAGGAAACUUGGGUCCACGUAUUACAAGCUCCGCAGGAAACAUCGUGGGUGGAAGUAACAUUGGAAGAAGCAUAAGCUCUGGUGGAUUGUCGGUGCCGAGUAUCUCAUCACGCAUCGAUUUUAGUAGCAAUGCUGGAAGUGGAAGACUAAAUGUGCAAGGAUCCAACAGGAUAAUGAACGGCCUUAAUCCUCAAGGAUCAUCACAACUGAUCAAUAUGAUUGGUAAUUCAUACCCAACGUCUGGAGGUUCAUUAUCCCAGAACCAAAUGCAACCAGGAAAUAAUUCUCUAGGUUCUAUGGGGAUGCUACAUGACGCCAGUGACAGCACUCCAUUCGACAUCAAUGAUUUCCCCCAAUUGACUGGUCGACCUAAUUCAGCUGGUGGUCCGCAAGGACAAUAUGGAUCACUACGGAAGCAAGGAGUUGGUGUUAACUCCAUUGUUCAACAAAACCAGGAGUUCAGUAUUCAGAACGAAGAUUUCCCGGCUUUGCCAGGAUUUAAAGGUAGCAGUUCAGAUUAUGCUAUGGAGUUAAAUCACACGGAACAACUUCACGAGAAUGUACCUGUAAUGCAAGGACAACAAUAUCCCAUGGCAAGGUCCGUUGGGUUUAAUUUAGGAAAUAGCUACCAACCAAAUCGUCAGCAACAUCUGCAGGGUGCUAAUUCAAUUCAGAGCGCCGGACCUCAAAAUAUUGGACUAAGACCACUAAACUCUUCGAGUCAAACUUCUAAUUUGGGAUCAUACGAGCAACUGCUCCAGCAAUACCAGCAGCCGAAGGCUCAGAGUCCUUUCGGGUUGCAGCAGAUGUCUUCAGCCACACAGCCAUAUGGGGAUCAUGGUCUAAAGCCCAUUCUGGGAGGCCGAACACCACCUGAUCCAUACGGCUUGUUGGGAUUGCUGGGAGUUAUAAGGACGAAUGAUCCUGAUUUGUCAUCUCUUGCUUUGGGAAUAGAUUUGACAACGUUGGGUUUGAAUUUGAACUCACCAGACAAUCUGUACAAGACAUUUGGCUCUCCAUUUUCAAAUGAGCCAGCAAAAGGAGAUCCAGAAUAUCCUACUCCAGCUUGUUAUGUGGCUGAGCAACCCCCAGCACUACAGCCUAUGCAUUUUCAGAAAUUUCAGACACUCAUACUGUUUUACAUAUUCUACAGCAUGCCGAAGGAUGAAGCUCAAAUAUGUGCUGCCAAUGAACUACAUAAUCGUGGAUGGUUUUACCAUAAAGAAGCGCAGCAAUGGUUCACAAGAAUUCCCAACAUGGAGCCUAUUGUCAAAACUCCUACAUAUGAACAGGGGUCUUUUGCCUUCUUUCAUCAAGGCAAUUGGGAAACAGUCCGUAAGGAUAACUUUGUUCUCCAUUAUGAGCUAGUAGAGAAAAGGCCUAGUCUCCCUUCCGCGUCCCAAAUUGUUAGGUGAAAAUUUUCUGGGUACCUCCUGACUCUAGCUUUCUUGUACAUGAAUGGAGAGCCUUCUUUAUAAACAUAGUGAAGCGAUAUUGCCCUAACUUGUCAAGAUAGUCUAUGUAGUGAAUCAGAGAGCACCAUGUCAUGUCAGAGACGCGGAGAGGAGGAGGCUGCAGAAGGAGGAGAAAAUGCCUUUGUAAUUACAGUAUAUAGUUAGAAAAAGGAUGGCACUGUCGUUAAACAUUACCUAGCUUCUUCGUACAUCAUGGGGAGUUUGUCUGUAAUGCUCCUUGACAAACAGUUUCGGAGUAGCCAGUCAGUCUGCAACUUAAAUAGACCACAACGGAACAAAACAAAACAAAUUGGUUUAUCUUCUCUGGCAGUGGUAGAAUUUUGUUGCUCGUUCGCUGUGAAAUUCUGCUUACUUUUGAUCAGCACUGCCACCUUGCUCAGCCGUAAUUCUACUGAAAGGAAUUUUUGGAAAAAGGUAGGUUCCAGCGAGGGUCCAUUGCUACGUUUGGUCAGCAGGGUCGAUGGGGCUUGCUCUAGCGGAUUUGCUGUACCACAGGUGCUUGUAGUUUCUGAUCUCCAAAAAAGAUUGCAGCACCCGAAAUUUAACCCGGCAAUUGUCUUAAUUAAUCAAUGA